UACGGAGGAUGCAAGCGUUAUCCGGAAUGAUUGGGCGUAAAGCGUCCGCAGGUGGCAAUGUAAGUCUGCUGUCAAAGCGUCUGGCUCAACCAGAUAAAGGCAGUGGAAACUACAUAGCUAGAGUAAGGUAGGGGUAGAGGGAAUUCCUGGUGUAGCGGUGAAAUGCGUAGAGAUCAGGAAGAACACCGGUGGCGAAAGCGCUCUGCUGGACCUUUAACUGACACUGAGGGACGAAAGCUAGGGGAGCGAAUGGG
This 254-nucleotide ribosomal RNA is filed under the name uncultured bacterium. RNAcentral's name for it is "partial 16S ribosomal RNA". It matches the Rfam family "Bacterial small subunit ribosomal RNA", at positions 524 to 776 of the family's 1533-position model. The record is from RNAcentral.